AUUGAACGCUGGCGGCAGGCCUAACACAUGCAAGUCGAGCGGAUGAAGGGAGCUUGCUCCUGGAUUCAGCGGCGGACGGGUGAGUAAUGCCUAGGAAUCUGCCUGGUAGUGGGGGAUAACGUCCGGAAACGGGCGCUAAUACCGCAUACGUCCUGAGGGAGAAAGUGGGGGAUCUUCGGACCUCACGCUAUCAGAUGAGCCUAGGUCGGAUUAGCUAGUUGGUGGGGUAAAGGCCUACCAAGGCGACGAUCCGUAACUGGUCUGAGAGGAUGAUCAGGCACACUGGAACUGAGACACGGACCAGACUCCUACGGGAGGCAGCAGUGGGGAAUAUUGGACAAUGGGCGAAAGCCUGAUCCAGCCAUGCCGCGUGUGUGAAGAAGGUCUUCGGAUUGUAAAGCACUUUAAGUUGGGAGGAAGGGCAGUAAGUUAAGACCUUGCUGUUUUGACGUUACCAGCAGAAUAAGCACCGGCUAACUUCGUG
Molecule: ribosomal RNA, 484 nt
Filed under: uncultured bacterium
Lineage: Bacteria
Description: partial 16S ribosomal RNA
Rfam family: Bacterial small subunit ribosomal RNA
Source: RNAcentral